Molecule: long non-coding RNA, 1235 nt
Filed under: Cyanistes caeruleus (blue tit)
Lineage: Eukaryota; Metazoa; Chordata; Aves; Passeriformes; Paridae
Description: lncRNA (ENSCCEG00000018410.1)
Source: RNAcentral
CUGAGCUCUCACUUCAGCCAUCCAAACUUAUGGUGUUCUUCCUAGAACCAUUAUAUCCAAACUAAAUAGAUCAAACUUUAAUGUUAGAGCUUUAAUACAAUAUCCUUCUCCAAGGCAUGAUACUGAAGAUGUAGAAAAGAGCAAGCAAGAAGUCAGCUUCAAGGUCCUGAAUCUCAUGGCCUUCAGUGCUCGUGAAAUGGUCGUUUGCUGCCCUUUGAGCACAGCCCAGACCUUUGAAUAUUUGAGAAUAUUGUUUCCCAAGAUGAAGAAAAAUAAUCAUUCAAUGUGUAUCUGUGAUUCUGCUGUCAGAGGCUUUUCUGCUUUCACUCAAGCUCAAUCCUGAGGUGGCUGUUAACUUCAGUAAAGAUUUGCGGCAGAGUACUACUGGGAUUGGCAGCAGCAAGACAAGGUAAAAAAAUCCACGAAACAGUAAAACGUUUAUUGAUGCACAGUGUAAAUGCUUCAUGGACUUUGUGACAGCUGAUGGAGAUGUAGUCAUAGCCAAGCUGAAUUUCCACUUCCAUGGACAGAUGUGCUGGGACAAUGUGCUCUGUAUUUAGGUGUUUUCACUUCCUUGCCUUGGACCAGGAGGGACUUGCUUGAUUAUGGGUGAAGCAGCUGUUCUUAGAUUUUGUGCUCAAGCCAUGGCAAUUUAUUUCUGACAUUUCCUCCUUAAACUGCUCUGUGACAUGUUCCUGCCUAGUGGAGGUGUCAGUACUGAACCAAGCACAUGUAGCUCCAAAAGCUCCAUAUGCUUUAGAGGGUGAGAGAGGUUCUAAAAUGUGUCAGCCUUUGCUGCACUAAAGGGUUUGACUUUAAUGCCAUACUUGUGAUAUUUCUUCUAAUUAAGAAGAGUGAGGAAUACUACUAAUUCAAUAGUAAAGUUAAUUAGCAAGACUAUAAAUGUUUAUUUGUUUUUUAAUAGCAACAAAUGCUAUAAAUUACUCCCAUGUUUGUCUAUUGUAAAAUCCUGCUGUUAGAGUAAUCUGUGAUGUAGCUUUUUCUUACAAUAGAUGUUGGCAUUGCAACAGCAUGAAUAUGAUUUUGGCAUGGAUUGUGAAAUAACCAUGUUAAGUGUUAAACCUGUUAAAUUUUUGAAUAGGACUCGUCAUGUGAGAAAGAUUAAAUGUCAUGUAUAUUGAUGUAUAUUGAACUGCUUAAUGUAAUCUGUAUUUACAAUCAGAAACCUGCUUUUGCAGGCAUUUCAAAUUUACUACAAUAAAACUGUAAGAGCU